RNAcentral lists this ribosomal RNA (274 nucleotides) under Pantoea agglomerans. RNAcentral's name for it is "partial 16S ribosomal RNA". It matches the Rfam family "Bacterial small subunit ribosomal RNA", at positions 787 to 1068 of the family's 1533-position model. Lineage: Bacteria; Pseudomonadati; Pseudomonadota; Gammaproteobacteria; Enterobacterales; Erwiniaceae. The record is from RNAcentral.
ACCGUCCCCCCAUUCUCAAACUUGGAAGUUGUGCCCUUGAGGCGUGGCUUCCGGAUCUAACGCGUUAAGUCACACCGCCUGGGGAGUACGGCCGCAAGGUUAAAACUCAAAUGAAUUGACGGGGGCCCGCACAAGCGGUGGAGCAUGUGGUUUAAUUCAAUGCAACGCAAAGAACCUUACCUACUCUUGACAUCCAGAAAACUUACCAAAAAUGGUUUGGGGCCUUCGGGAACUCUGAGACAGGGGCUGCAUGGCUGUCGUCAGCUCGUGCCGG